AAGGGAGAAGUCGUCAAGGUAUUCCUUUCAACUUGGCCUCCCAAAUUGAACUGCAGAGCACAAGCACAUAUAUAUACAGGAGCAAGGGGACUCUACUUCUGCUGAGUCUCGAUCUGUGAAGUGUGCCUGUCCUCCAGUUCGCACAAAGUAGAGCUGGAGCAUGAAGCAAGUGGAAUCUCCUACGAGCCAAAAUAAAGGCAACUCCAUUUAGUUUUCAGGGAUCAAAUGAUUUUAUGUUCUUUGUGUAUAUGUUUGCCUUUUAACUAUUUCCACUAGUUCCAACAGGCAUUUUAAAAUUUGUUUCUGCAAAUGGCCCAAUCUUACUGCAUUUUUCUAAAAAAUUCCAUUAUGUUUUAAUUCAGUUAAAAUUAGUUAUUUAUUCUUCCAUGUACAUCUCUUUCAUUAAUAUCUAACAUCUAUGGUUUGUUUGUCCAAGGUUGUCCCUCUUUACAAAAUUCACAUUGAAAUCGUUGAAAGCAUAUGAACUAUUAAAGAAGAAAAGUUUGAUUAUUUUCACAUGCUUUUCAGUAUUUCUGUGGACAAUGACAUGACUAACUCUCCGUUCCAUGCAUCUGGCAUCGGAGAUCAAGCACUGGAACGUACUUGUGAGUAAACCAAACCAAAUUAAGGAAUUUUUCAGGUGGGCAAUGGAAGGCCUCAUGUCUCCAAACAUCAGGUAAAGUUGUUGGCCGUUGGGUUUUAGUGCGGCGAGUUGAUUUCAAUCGGAAAACUUGAUUUCCGGCUAACUAAACCUUUUCCUUGGAAUGAAAAACUUGAUUUCCGGCUACCUUAACUGUCCGGAGAGGUAGAGCCAUGGAGAUGCAAUGCCUAUAUAGUUAAACAUUUCUGGCUCUUUAGUAGGAUGAGUUGGUUUCUUAUACAAACUAAUAUGUUGCUUGUUUUUUCUAGUUUGAUGUAUUAUCAUCAUAUAUUGUCAAGGUGGCAAACAAAGUUCUUGAUUAGAAUUCUGAGAAAUCAAAUGAUUUUAUAUGUAUAAUCUCGAUCCUCUUUGAGGCUGAAUCGUACUCCACUGAAGAUGGUAUUGUAUGAUGUUCUUGCAACACUUUUAGAUGCGCUUUCUAUAAUAAUGAAUAGUCCAUUUGC
This is a long non-coding RNA of Tripterygium wilfordii, 1104 nucleotides long. RefSeq lists it as uncharacterized. Lineage: Eukaryota; Viridiplantae; Streptophyta; Magnoliopsida; Celastrales; Celastraceae. The transcript is spliced from 3 exons. The record is from RefSeq and is a predicted model, not a curated record.